This 2312-nucleotide ribosomal RNA is filed under the name wastewater metagenome. RNAcentral describes it as "bacterial LSU rRNA". It matches the Rfam family "Bacterial large subunit ribosomal RNA", at positions 99 to 2430 of the family's 2925-position model. The record is from RNAcentral.
UUGAUCCAGAGAUUUCCGAAUGGGACAACCCAAUAUCUUGAAGAGGUAUUAUCCAACGUUGUUGGAGGCUAACGCAGGGAACUGAAACAUCUUAGUACCUGCAGGAAAAGAAAAUAAACAAUGAUUCCCCCAGUAGUGGCGAGCGAACGGGGAACAGCCCAAACCAUCCAUGUUACGGCAUGGGUGGGGUUGUAGGACUACGCCGUUGCAUGAAGACAUCAGAGAAGAACUUUCUGGAAAGAAAGACCAUAGAGCAUGACAGUUGCGUAUUCGAAUGUUGUCGAAGCAUAGUAGUAUCCUGAGUAGCGCGGAGCACGAGGAAUUCUGCGUGAAUCUGCCGGGACCAUCCGGUAAGGCUAAAUACUCCCGAGAGACCGAUAGCGAACCAGUACCGUGAGGGAAAGGUGAAAAGCACUUCGAACAGAAGAGUGAAAUAGUUCCUGAAACCGUGCGCCUACAAGCGGUCGGAGCUCGUUAAUGAGUGACGGCGUGCCUUUUGCAUAAUGAACCUACGAGUUGCCUUUGCCGGCAAGGUUAAGUGUGACGACACACGUAUCCGAAGCGAAAGCGAGUCUGAACAGGGCGUAUAGUCGGCAGUGGCAGACGCGAAACCAAGUGAUCUACCCUUGGCCAGGUUGAAGGCUGGGUAACACCAGCUGGAGGACCGCACCAAUAAGCGUUGAAAAGCUUCUGGAUGAGCUGAGGGUAGGGGUGAAAGGCUAAUCAAACUUGGAGAUAGCUCGUACUCCCCGAAAUGCAUUUAGGUGCAGCCUUGCGGGUUACUGAUGUGAGGUAGAGCGACUGAUAAGAUGCGAGGGCUUCACCGCCUAUCAAGUCUUGACAAACUCCGAAUGCGCAUCAGUUCUACCGCAGGAGUGAGGGCAUGGGUGCUAAGGUCCGUGCCCGAGAGGAGAAGAAUCCGGACCACCUGCUAAGGUCCCGAAAUGACAGCUAAGUUAAACUAACGAAGUCAGAUUGCUAAGACAGCUAGGAUGUUGGCUUGGAAGCAGCCAUUCAUUUAAAGAGUGCGUAACAGCUCACUAGUCGAGGAGUCGGGCGUGGAUAAUAAUCGGGUAUCAAGUUGUCUACCGAAGCAGUGGGAUCAUUUAUAUGAUCGGUAGGGGAGCAUUCCAGUCAGCGUCGAAGGCGUACCGUGAGGUAUUCUGGAGCGUCUGGAAAAGCAAAUGUAGGUAUAAGUAACGAUAAAGGGGGCGGGAAACCCCCUCGCCGAAAGACUAAGGUUUCCUGAUCAACGCUAAUCGGAUCAGGGUCAGUCGGGUCCUAAGGCUCAGCCGAACGGCGAUGCCGAUGGCAGAAACGGUUAAUAUUCCGUUACUACCUUCAGGAGUGACGUGGAGACGCAGUAGUGACAGUGCCGCCAUCUGACGGAAUAGAUGGUUGAAGGGUGUAGGAGUCGAUCAUGGCAGGCAAAUCCACCAUGAGAUCCGAACCUGACAGUAUGCCGCGUCCUUCGGGACAAGGCAAUAGUGCGCGUAAGCAUGCUGCCGAGAAAAUCCGCUAAACUUAAUCCUGCAGGUACCCGUACCGCAAACGGACACACGUAGUCGGGUUGAAUAUACUAAGGCGCUUGAGUGAUUCACGGUUAAGGAACUAGGCAAACUGACCCUGUAACUUCGGGAUAAAGGGUCCCUACCCUUUUAUGGGAGGGCGCAGAGAAUCGGUCCAGGCAACUGUUUAACAAAAACACAGGGCUGUGCCAAAUCGAAAGAUCCAGUAUACAGCCUGACACCUGCCCGGUGCUGGAAGGUUAAGAGGAGAUGUCAUCGAUGAGAGAAGCGUUGAAUUGAAGCCCCAGUAAACGGCGGCCGUAACUAUAACGGUCCUAAGGUAGCGAAAUUCCUUGUCGGGUAAGUUCCGACCUGCACGAAUGGUGUAAUGAUCUGGACGCUGUCUCAACCGUGAGCUCAGUGAAAUUGUAGUAUCGGUGAAGAUGCCGAUUACCCGCGAUGGGACGAAAAGACCCCGUGAACCUUUACUAUAGCUUAUCAUUGAAUCUGGGCACGUGAUGUGUAGGAUAGGUCGGAGGCUUUGAAGCAGGUACGCCAGUAUUUGUGGAGCCGCUGUUGAAAUACGACCCUUUAUUUGUUUGGAUUCUAACCCGUGGAACGGGGACAUUGAUUGGUGGGUAGUUUGACUGGGGUGGUCGCCUCCAAAAGCGUAACGGAGGCUUCUAAAGGUGCCCUCCGGCCGAUUGGUAACCGGCCUUAGAGUGUAAUGGCAUAAGGGCGCUUGACUGGGAGACUAACAAGUCGAUCAGGUAGGAAACUAGAGCAUAGUGAUCCGGUGUUUCC